RNAcentral lists this ribosomal RNA (356 nucleotides) under uncultured Anoxybacillus sp. Its description in RNAcentral is "bacterial SSU rRNA". It matches the Rfam family "Bacterial small subunit ribosomal RNA", at positions 1026 to 1382 of the family's 1533-position model. The record is from RNAcentral. Lineage: Bacteria; Bacillati; Bacillota; Bacilli; Caryophanales; Anoxybacillaceae.
ACAGGGUGACAGGUGGUGCAUGGUUGUCGUCAGCUCGUGUCGUGAGAUGUUGGGUUAAGUCCCGCAACGAGCGCAACCCUCGACCUUAGUUGCCAGCAUUCAGUUGGGCACUCUAAGGUGACUGCCGGCUAAAAGUCGGAGGAAGGUGGGGAUGACGUCAAAUCAUCAUGCCCCUUAUGACCUGGGCUACACACGUGCUACAAUGGGCGGUACAAAGGGUCGCGAACCCGCGAGGGGGGAGCCAAUCCCAAAAAGCCGCUCUCAGUUCGGAUUGCAGGCUGCAACUCGCCUGCAUGAAGUCGGAAUCGCUAGUAAUCGCAGGUCAGCAUACUGCGGUGAAUACGUUCCCGGGCCUU